UACGUAGGAGGCAAGCGUUGUCCGGAAUUACUGGGUGUAAAGCGCGUGUAGGCGGCAGGCCAAGUCUGUGGUGAAAUCGCUCGGCUCAACUGGGCGGGGUCCAUGGAAACUGGUCAGCUGGAGGACGGUAGAGGUGAGUGGAAUUCCCGGUGUAGCGGUGAAAUGCGUAGAUAUCAGGAGGAACACCUGCGGUGUAGACGGCUUUCUGGACCAUUGUUGACGCUGAGACACGAAAGCGUGGGUAGCAAACAGG
RNAcentral lists this ribosomal RNA (253 nucleotides) under uncultured bacterium. RNAcentral's name for it is "partial 16S ribosomal RNA". It matches the Rfam family "Bacterial small subunit ribosomal RNA", at positions 524 to 776 of the family's 1533-position model. The record is from RNAcentral.